AGGGAAUCUUCCACAAUGGACGAAAGUCUGAUGGAGCAACGCCGCGUGAGUGAUGAAGGGUUUCGGCUCGUAAAACUCUGUUGUUGGAGAAGAACAGGUGAUAGAGCAACUGUUAUCAUCUUGACGGUAUCCAACCAGAAAGCCACGGCUAACUACGUGCCAGCAGCCGCGGUAAUACGUAGGUGGCAAGCGUUGUCCGGAUUUAUUGGGCGUAAAGCGAGCGCAGGCGGUUUUUUAGGUCUGAUGUGAAAGCCUUCGGCUUAACCGGAGAAGGGCAUCGGAAACCGGGAGACUUGAGUGCAGAAGAGGACAGUGGAACUCCAUGUGUAGCGGUGAAAUGCGUAGAUAUAUGGAAGAACACCAGUGGCGAAGGCGGCUGUCUGGUCUGUAACUGACGCUGAGGCUCGAAAGCAUGGGUAGCAAAACAGGAUUAGAUACCCUGGUAGUCCAUGCCGUAAACGAUGAGUGCUAAGUGUUGGAGGGUUUCCGCCCUUCAGUGCUGCAGCUAACGCAUUAAGCACUCCGCCUGGGGAGUACGACCGCAAGGUUGAAAC
RNAcentral lists this ribosomal RNA (554 nucleotides) under uncultured bacterium. RNAcentral describes it as "partial 16S ribosomal RNA". It matches the Rfam family "Bacterial small subunit ribosomal RNA", at positions 356 to 900 of the family's 1533-position model. The record is from RNAcentral.